AAUUGUCGGAACAUGGGACAGCAGUUACAAUUCAAAUUCACAAUGCACUCAACAAUUCGUUUUGCAUUACUUACUGCACUUCUAUUUAUCGAUUCGAGUACAGCUUACGACGAUGGAUUGGUGUCAUGUCUAUGUGAUUCAGCCGAGAAGAGCACGCCGAAGAUUGCCGUCGGAAACAGACACUGUAAGGGAGGUUGUGUUGUAGACACUAAAGGUCACACAAUUUUAAUAUUAAAUGAUUGCGUACCGAAAGGCAACGACGAUUGGCAACCAUAUUAUUCAGAUCAUUUUUGCCGUGAUAUUAACGCAAGUAAACUAUUUGGGUACUCUAUUAAAAAGGUUAAGGCAGCGUUUACAUCAUUUUUUUGUGAAGACACUGGGUUUGUAUCACCAGGUAUGAUAAUAGCGAUAUAAUAUGUUGAGCAGCAACAGUGCUUUAUUUUGAAGUUGAUAAAAGAAAUAAAAUGUAACUGGAAUCGAA
Long non-coding RNA from Bradysia coprophila, 481 nucleotides. The record is from RefSeq and is a predicted model, not a curated record. Lineage: Eukaryota; Metazoa; Arthropoda; Insecta; Diptera; Sciaridae.